GUUUGACAAAAUAUGUCAUAUCGGCCGGCGGGCGCAGUACUAAUGCGUUACCCAGCAUUGUGAAACAUGUUGAAAGUGAGAAUUUGUUUGAAGUU
Aricia agestis (brown argus) is the source of this 95-nucleotide long non-coding RNA. RefSeq lists it as uncharacterized. The record is from RefSeq and is a predicted model, not a curated record. Lineage: Eukaryota; Metazoa; Arthropoda; Insecta; Lepidoptera; Lycaenidae. The transcript is spliced from 3 exons.